GGGAAACCGAGUCUGAAGAGGGCGAGGAGUCGGUAUAGGUAGACCCGAAACUGUAGUGAUCUACGCAUGGCCAGAUUGAAACGCAGGUAAAAAUGCGCGGAGGAUCGAACCGGGACAUGUUGAAAAAUGUUCGGAUGAGCUGUGCGUAGGGGUGAAAUUCCAAUCGAACGCAGAGAUAGCUGGUUCUCCUCGAAAUAGCUUUAGGGCUAGCCUCAGGCAGUAAGCAUAGGCGGUAGAGCACUGAUCGGGUACGGGGCCGUAAAGGUUACCAACCCCUGUCAAACUCCGAAUGGUUAUGCUGCAAAGCCUGGGAGUCAGACUACGAGUGAUAAGAUCCGUGGUCAAAAGGGAAACAGCCCAGACCAUCAGCUAAGGUCCCCAAUGCCGUACUAAGUGGAAAAGGAUGUGGGGCUUCAUAAACAACCAGGAUGUUGGCUCAGAAGCAGCCACCAUUUAAAGAGUGCGUAAUAGCUCACUGGUCGAGAGGCCCCGCGCCGAAGAUUCCCGGGGCUAAAGUACGGAACCGAAGCUAUGGAUGCGGUGUAAGCCGCGUGGUAGAGGAGCGUUCUCAUCGGGCAGAAGCAGUGCUGUAAGGCGUUGUGGACGGAUGAGAAGUGAGAAUGUUGGCAUGAGUAGCGAAAAGGACGGUGCGAAUCCGUCCCACCGAAAGCAUAAGGAUUCCUGAGCAACGAUCGUCGUCUCAGGGUAAGUCGGGACCUAAUCCGAGGCAAGAGGCGUAGGAGAUGGACAUCCGGUUGAGAAUCCGGAACCGGCAGAGGUUGUUUGAGCAAUGGAGUGACACAGGCAGGCAGGCGCGCACGGGAUUGGAAGUCCGUGUGCAAGCGUGUGGCGCGGGGGACAGGCAAAUCCGUCCCCCAGGAGCGUGAGGCGUGACGCGGAGCUUUCCGUGAGGAAAGCGAAGGGGCUGAGCCUAUACUGUCGAGAAAAGCUUCUAGUGAGACCGAUGCCGCCCGUACCGUAAACCGACACAGGUAUGUGGGGAGAGGAUCCUAAGGUGCGCGGGAGAACCCUCGUUAAGGAACUCGGCAAAAUGUACCCGUAACUUCGGGAUAAGGGUAGCCGCGUGUUGUGAAGUAUGUGCAUAUGGAGCAGAGCGCGGCCGCAGAGAAGAGGCCCAAGCGACUGUUUACCAAAAACUUAGGUGCCUGCCAAAGCGAAAGCUGACGUAUAGGUGCUGACACCUGCCCAGUGCCGGAAGGUUAAGGAAGGAGGUUCGGAGCGAUCCAACGCCUUCGACCGAAGCCCCGGUGAACGGCGGCCGUAACUAUAACGGUCCUAAGGUAGCGAAAUUCCUUGUCGGGUAAG
Molecule: ribosomal RNA, 1326 nt
Filed under: human gut metagenome
Description: bacterial LSU rRNA
Rfam family: Bacterial large subunit ribosomal RNA
Source: RNAcentral